UGAGGGAAAGCUGCAAAGUACUCUGAAGAGAGAGUUCAAUAGGACGUGAACCCGUCUGCAGGGAAGCGGGUGAGACCGCACGAUAGACCCACCGUGGAUUCAGCUCAGGGGGUCGCUCCCGCCGGUCUGGGGUUCUGGGUCGACUGACUCUGGAUCUCUGAGCGGUUUGGACGGCUUCUCGGGUGCACUUCCGUGAACGUGGGCUGCGUGGGGAUCGGUUUGGGCUGCGCCUAAAGUCGUAGGGGGUGGUAGCGGGGGAAUUUCUCCUGUGAUGUACCCUUGCGUUCGGUGGCCGUGGCCUGGACCGAGGAAUCUGUCCGUCCGUUCCCUCCGGGACGACAGGUCUG
This 347-nucleotide ribosomal RNA is filed under the name Eukrohnia bathypelagica. RNAcentral describes it as "partial 28S ribosomal RNA". The record is from RNAcentral. Lineage: Eukaryota; Metazoa; Chaetognatha; Sagittoidea; Phragmophora; Eukrohniidae.